AAUCCAUAGGUUAAUGAGGCGAACCGGGGGAACUGAAACAUCUAAGUACCCCGAGGAAAAGAAAUCAACCGAGAUUCCCCCAGUAGCGGCGAGCGAACGGGGAGGAGCCCAGAGCCUGAAUCAGCAUGUGUGUUAGUGGAAGCGUCUGGAAAGGCGCGCGAUACAGGGUGACAGCCCCGUACACAAAAGCGCAUGUGCUGUGAGCUCGAUGAGUAGGGCGGGACACGUGGUAUCCUGUCUGAAUAUGGGGGGACCAUCCUCCAAGGCUAAAUACUCCUGACUGACCGAUAGUGAACCAGUACCGUGAGGGAAAGGCGAAAAGAACCCCGGCGAGGGGAGUGAAAAAGAACCUGAAACCGUGUACGUACAAGCAGUGGGAGCACAGGUUUACCUGUGUGACUGCGUACCUUUUGUAUAAUGGGUCAGCGACUUAUAUUCUGUAGCAAGGUUAACCGUAUAGGGGAGCCGUAGGGAAACCGAGUCUUAACCGGGCGUUAAGUUGCAGGGUAUAGACCCGAAACCCGGUGAUCUAGCCAUGGGCAGGUUGAAGGUUG
This 554-nucleotide ribosomal RNA is filed under the name Salmonella enterica subsp. enterica serovar Newport. Its description in RNAcentral is "partial 23S ribosomal RNA". It matches the Rfam family "Bacterial large subunit ribosomal RNA", at positions 161 to 754 of the family's 2925-position model. Lineage: Bacteria; Pseudomonadati; Pseudomonadota; Gammaproteobacteria; Enterobacterales; Enterobacteriaceae. The record is from RNAcentral.